GGAUCCGUAGCGCAGUUAGGACAGCGCAUCUGCCUCCUAAGCAGGUGGUCGAGGGAUCGAAGCCCUCCGGAUCCGCCA
RNAcentral lists this transfer RNA (78 nucleotides) under Candidatus Heimdallarchaeota archaeon. RNAcentral describes it as "tRNA-Arg". It matches the Rfam family "tRNA". Rfam says of the family: Transfer RNA (tRNA) molecules are approximately 80 nucleotides in length. Their secondary structure includes four short double-helical elements and three loops (D, anti-codon, and T loops). Further hydrogen bonds mediate the characteristic L-shaped molecular structure. tRNAs have two regions of fundamental functional importance: the anti-codon, which is responsible for specific mRNA codon recognition, and the 3' end, to which the tRNAs corresponding amino acid is attached (by aminoacyl-tRNA synthetases). tRNAs cope with the degeneracy of the genetic code in two manners: having more than one tRNA (with a specific anti-codon) for a particular amino acid; and 'wobble' base-pairing, i.e. permitting non-standard base-pairing at the 3rd anti-codon position. Lineage: Archaea; Promethearchaeati; Candidatus Heimdallarchaeota. The record is from RNAcentral.